RNAcentral lists this long non-coding RNA (1099 nucleotides) under Coturnix japonica (Japanese quail). RNAcentral's name for it is "lncRNA (ENSCJPG00005000070.1)". Lineage: Eukaryota; Metazoa; Chordata; Aves; Galliformes; Phasianidae. The record is from RNAcentral.
CAGACAUAGCAUCUUAUUUUGUUUAUUGCUUGAUAUUUGCCAACGUAUACCUAAUCCAUGCUUAAACUUUCCUUUGCUCUCACUGCAGAUUUGAUCAGACUCAAAAUCUAAGUGUUUAAAGAAAAGGAGUGCAGUACAAGACUGGAAUCAAACAUAAGAAAUGCAGUAUGAUAUUAACACUGGAUUAAAAUCACAACCUGGAGGACUUACUUUGCUUGAAUUCAGUAGAGAUGUUUUGCCAAAAAAAAAAGAAAAAAGAAAAAGAAAAAAAGCAAAAACAAAAACAACCAAAAAAACAUAAGGUGUCUGCUCUGAACGUAAUCCUCCUAUUUUGUUAUUUUAGUUCAUGAUGCCAAGGGACAGAUUCUAGCAAUAUAGCAGUAGAGGUUGAACCUUCCUGCCAAUAUUUCAUUAUAUUUUGUUGCUGCAAAACAGAUGACAGCAGAGACAUACUCUGACAAACAAAAGCUGUCUGAUACAUAAGAGUACAAGAAGCAAAACAUUAAAGUCUUUAGUUCUGAGAUGAAUCCUAAGUUCAUAAAGUUUUGAGAGCAACUAUUUAAAUUCUUAUCUAAAUUUCCAGCAUUCAGACGGCAUUGAAAGCUUUCAGUCACAUGUAUCCUGUGAUCUUGCACAUCCUAUAGGAAAGUAGAUAAAUACAAGGAAGAUGGAGGUCUAAAAGAGGAACAUCAUUAUUUUCUCACUUUUUCUGUUGUUUCUUGGUGUACAUUCAGCACUACAUCAUUCUGUUUCUUCAUUUCUCAGGUUUUCCUCAAUACCUCUUUGUGCGUAUGCAUAUAUAAAGACGUAUUGGCUUCUGAGUUAACUGUCCUUUGAAAUAUUUAGAACUGUACAAAUACUAAGCAUUAUUUUUAUUUGCAGAGAACAUACUUUCCAUCACAGAUACAGGCCGCAAUAUUCUGGAUCAUGCUGAAACGAAAGUGCAUUUGUCAUAACAGCUCUGUGUGUACCAGUCAACACAAGCAUGUUCAACAGGUUCCUACGGAAGAACGGCUACUAAGACAAAGAGAUCACAUGUCCACUGGGAAUUUUGAGGGCAGGAGUUCCCAAUGAAUGUAAAACUCUAGAGAUAAUUCUG